CCUACGGGAGGCAGCAGUGGGGAAUAUUGCACAAUGGAGGGAACUCUGAUGCAGCGACGCCGCGUGAGUGAAGAAGUAAUUCGUUAUGUAAAGCUCUAUCAGCAGGGAAGAAAGUGACGGUACCUGAAAAAGACGCUCCGGCUAAAUACGUGCCAGCAGCCGCCGUAAUACGUAUGGAGCAAGCGUUAUCCGGGUUUACUGGGUGUAAAGGGAGAGUAGGUGGCACAGCAAGUCCGAAGUGAAAACCCCAAGCUCAACUAUCGGAAUGCCUUAGAAACUGCUCAGCUAGAGUGCAGGAGAGGAAAGUGGAAUGCUUAGUGUAGCGGUGAAAUGCGUAGAUAUUAGGAGGAACACCGGUGGCGAAGGCAGCUUGCUGGACUGUAACUGACGCUGAGGCUCGAAAGCGUGGGGAGCAAACAGGAUUAGAUACCCGGGUAGUC
RNAcentral lists this ribosomal RNA (440 nucleotides) under uncultured bacterium. RNAcentral's name for it is "partial 16S ribosomal RNA". It matches the Rfam family "Bacterial small subunit ribosomal RNA", at positions 338 to 795 of the family's 1533-position model. The record is from RNAcentral.